Molecule: transfer RNA, 71 nt
Filed under: Ornithodoros phacochoerus
Lineage: Eukaryota; Metazoa; Arthropoda; Arachnida; Ixodida; Argasidae
Description: Ornithodoros sp. 3 BJM-2014 tRNA-Ser
Source: RNAcentral
UUAAUGAUUAAUCCUAUUAAGGUUAAAACCAGGCUGCUAACCUGAUAAUAAUGAUAUUCAUUUAACCUUUA